RNAcentral lists this ribosomal RNA (253 nucleotides) under uncultured bacterium. RNAcentral's name for it is "partial 16S ribosomal RNA". It matches the Rfam family "Bacterial small subunit ribosomal RNA", at positions 524 to 776 of the family's 1533-position model. The record is from RNAcentral.
UACGGAGGAUGCAAGCGUUAUCCGGAUUCAUUGGGUUUAAAGGGUGCGUAGGCGGAAUAAUAAGUCAGUGGUGAAAGCCUGCGGCUUAACCGUAGAAUUGCCGUUGAUACUGUUAUUCUUGAGUAUAGUUGAAGUGGGCGGAAUGUGUAAUGUAGCGGUGAAAUGCUUAGAUAUUACACAGAACACCAAUUGCGAAGGCAGCUCGCUAAACUGUUACUGACGCUGAGGCACGAAAGCGUGGGGAGCAAACAGG